UUUAAAUUGAGAGUUUGAUCCUGGCUCAGGACGAACGCUGGCGGCGUGCCUAACACAUGCAAGUCGAGCGAUGAAGCUCCUUCGGGAGUGGAAUAGCGGCGGACGGGUGAGUAACACGUGGGUAACCUGCCUCAUAGAGGGGAAUAGCCUUCCGAAAGGGAGAUUAAUACCGCAUAACAUAACUUUAUCGCAUGGUAGAGUUAUCAAAGGAGUAAUCCGCUAUGAGAUGGACCCGCGGYGCAUUAGCUAGUUGGUGAGGU
This 260-nucleotide ribosomal RNA is filed under the name Clostridium senegalense. RNAcentral describes it as "partial 16S ribosomal RNA". The record is from RNAcentral. Lineage: Bacteria; Bacillati; Bacillota; Clostridia; Eubacteriales; Clostridiaceae.